AAGUCGUAACAAGGUUUCCGUAGGUGAACCUGCGGAAGGAUCAUUAACACGUUAUCCACGUAUCACCACUGAGAACCGUUUAAUUCUACCUCUGUUUGGAAUGAACAGCUAGACUAGCGAUAGAGUGAUGGGAAGGGAGUGCCUCACGGCCUCUGUGCUCUAUUCUGUUUAUUCGUAUUCGGAUCGCAAGAUUUGAGUAUGUACUGUUGUAUUCAACCAGUUGGCCCCCUCUCGGCGCACAGCUCUCCUUCCAUGAGAUGCGCGCUGGGAAACGUAUCUAACCAUUCUAACCCCUUUUUGCUAGUUGACUUUUAUAUGUUGCUGUUCUUUGCUUCGGCAAGGUCUGCACACGUUUAAUUAUUUGAACGUUAAAAAUACAACUCUUAGCAAUGGAUAUCUAGGUUCUC
This 407-nucleotide unclassified non-coding RNA is filed under the name fungal sp. RNAcentral's name for it is "partial internal transcribed spacer region". The stretch from base 1 to 46 matches the Rfam family "Eukaryotic small subunit ribosomal RNA", at positions 1786 to 1831 of the family's 1831-position model. The record is from RNAcentral. Lineage: Eukaryota; Fungi.